RNAcentral lists this ribosomal RNA (316 nucleotides) under Vairimorpha apis. RNAcentral describes it as "Nosema apis partial small subunit ribosomal RNA". It matches the Rfam family "Microsporidia small subunit ribosomal RNA", at positions 50 to 363 of the family's 1311-position model. Lineage: Eukaryota; Fungi; Microsporidia; Nosematidae. The record is from RNAcentral.
GGGCAUGUCUUUGACGUACUAUGUACUGAAAGAUGGACUGCUCAGUAAUACUCACUUUAUUUGAUGUACAUUAUACAUAACUACGUUAAAGUGUAGCUAACAUAUGUACAGUAAGAGUGAGACCUAUCAGCUAGUUGUUAAGGUAAUGGCUUAACAAGGCAAUAACGGGUAACGGUAUUACUUUGUAAUAUUCCGGAGAAGGAGCCUGAGAGACGGCUACUAAGUCUAAGGAUUGCAGCAGGGGCGAAACUUGACCUAUGGAUAUUAUCUGAGGCAGUUAUGGGAAGUAACAUAGUUGUUUCACAUUUUAAACGCC